This 555-nucleotide ribosomal RNA is filed under the name uncultured archaeon. Its description in RNAcentral is "bacterial SSU rRNA". It matches the Rfam family "Archaeal small subunit ribosomal RNA", at positions 325 to 879 of the family's 1478-position model. The record is from RNAcentral.
ACGGGGUGCAGCAGGCGCGAAAACUUUACACUGCACGACAGUGCGAUAAGGGAACUCCGAGUGCGAGGGCAUAUAGUCCUCGCUUUUCUGUACCGUAAGGUGGUACAAGAAUAAGGACUGGGCAAGACCGGUGCCAGCCGCCGCGGUAAUACCGGCAGUCCAAGUGAUGGCCGCUAUUAUUGGGCCUAAAGCGUCCGUAGCCGGCCAGACAGGUUCGUCGGGAAAUCUGCUCGCUCAACGAGCAGGCGUCCGGCGAAAACCAGCUGGCUUGGGGCCGGAAGAUCUGAGGGGUACGUCCGGGGUAGGAGUGAAAUCCUGUAAUCCUGGACGGACCACCGGUGGCGAAAGCGCCUCAGAAAGACGGACCCGACGGUGAGGGACGAAAGCUAGGGUCACGAACCGGAUUAGAUACCCGGGUAGUCCUAGCUGUAAACGAUGCUCGCUAGGUGUGGCGUUGGCUACGAGCCAGCGCUGUGCCGUAGGGAAGCCGAGAAGCGAGCCGCCUGGGAAGUACGUCCGCAAGGAUGAAACUUAAAGGAAUUGGCGGGGGAGCAC